CCCAUUAUUUUAUAUUUUCAUUUUUAUUGAUUAAUAUUUUUUUUUGAGAGAACAAGAUAGUUAUUUAAACAACCAUAUAACCAUUCGGCCACAUUAGUCUUUCAUGAUUAAUAUCUAUAUAUAUAUAAAAAUGUUUGCCUCCCUCCUGGUGAUGCCACAUCAGAUUCCAGCUAGAUAAGUAGUCUCAUGUAAACGUGACACGUGGCAUAAGAGUCGAUCCGCUGUGUUUCAUUAAACGUCUGUCGUCUCUCCUUCCACCGCCUUAACUUGGCCGAGUAACUGCUGUCGGUAACGCAUUUCAGUGAAUUCACCCCAUUAAAGUUGGAUUAUUUGGCUUCACUUUCAAGCUAAGUUGCUAUAUAUAUAAUGGCCCUCUUAUGUGGAUGAAACUCAAAGUCUUUUGCAUCUACUUAUCACACGAUAUCUCCCUCCAUCUCUUUCUACAUGUUAAAUCGUUUUAACUAUGCUGAUUUACAGGAUACAAGGCUGGGAGCCAUAACCAUGGACUCCAUCAGAUCUGACUCCAUCAGACAGAUGUACCGAGCAUCUCCCGGUUUCAGUGACUCUUGCUUGGCUCAACAAUGGCGGCAGUGAAGAUGGUAGAUUCUUGCUUGGCUCAACGGCGGCGGCUGGAGCAUGGUGAAUCAAGAGUAGUUAGAGCUGAAGGACGGGUUUGCUUGAAGCGCCGACGGUACGAUGACAAAACUGGAUCUCGGUGGAACACCAAUCACCAAUGGAAACGUCACCGGAAUAAUAUAUAUUUAUGCAUCUGAAGGACGGGUUUGCUUUACAUUUUUUUGUUUUAAAUGCGGAUUCGUUUUGAUAUGUGUUUGAAUAUACCGAGUAAUAAUUCACUAACCUCGAUUAUGUAAUUAUAAUGAUUUAUGCGGAGGGUGUGAUUUGAGGCGUAAUUAUCGUAUAAAUUUAAUUCCUGAUUAA
Molecule: long non-coding RNA, 939 nt
Organism: Brassica napus (rape)
Lineage: Eukaryota; Viridiplantae; Streptophyta; Magnoliopsida; Brassicales; Brassicaceae
Exons: 2
Source: RefSeq, a predicted model, not a curated record